ACUUAGUCCUGCGGCCGAGGUUCCCUGUUCCCCCGGAUGGGAGGGAUCAAAGGCGAAGCCGGUGCAAGUCCGGCGCUGCCGCGCAACUGUGAGCCCAGGGCGUUGAGCCCUUGGCAAGCCAGGUCGCCCGCCUCGGUCGCGUUCCCAAA
This 149-nucleotide non-coding RNA is filed under the name Chloroflexota bacterium. The record is from RNAcentral. Lineage: Bacteria; Bacillati; Chloroflexota.